This 675-nucleotide ribosomal RNA is filed under the name uncultured Streptococcus sp. RNAcentral's name for it is "partial 16S ribosomal RNA". It matches the Rfam family "Bacterial small subunit ribosomal RNA", at positions 118 to 776 of the family's 1533-position model. Lineage: Bacteria; Bacillati; Bacillota; Bacilli; Lactobacillales; Streptococcaceae. The record is from RNAcentral.
UNNNNNANCUUNCCNCNUNNNGNGGGGAUNNUAUUGGNAANGAUAAGUUAAUNCCCGCAUAAGAACAUUUACNNCAUGGUAGAUGUUUGNAAAGGUGCAAAAAGCAUCNCUNCCAGAUGGACCUGCGUUUUAUUAGCUAGUUGGUGAGGUAACGGCUCACCAAGGCAACGAUACAUAGCCGACCUGAGAGGGUGAUCGGCCACACUGGGACUGAGACGCGGCCCAGACUCCUACGGGAGGCAGCAGUAGGGAAUCUUCGGCAAUGGGGGGAACCCUGACCGAGCAACGCCGCGUGAGUGAAGAAGGUUUUCGGAUCGUAAAGCUCUGUUGUUAAGGAAGAACGUGUGUGAGAGUGGAAAGUUCACACAGUGACGGUACUUAACCAGAAAGGGACGGCUAACUACGUGCCAGCAGCCGCGGUAAUACGUAGGUCCCGAGCGUUGUCCGGAUUUAUUGGGCGUAAAGCGAGCGCAGGCGGUUAGAUAAGUCUGAAGUGAAAGGCAGUGGCUCAACCAUUGUAGGCUUUGGAAACUGUUUAACUUGAGUGCAGAAGGGGAGAGUGGAAUUCCAUGUGUAGCGGUGAAAUGCGUAGAUAUAUGGAGGAACACCGGUGGCGAAAGCGGCUCUCUGGUCUGUAACUGACGCUGAGGCUCGAAAGCGUGGGGAGCGAACAGG